Molecule: ribosomal RNA, 465 nt
Filed under: Vreelandella stevensii
Lineage: Bacteria; Pseudomonadati; Pseudomonadota; Gammaproteobacteria; Oceanospirillales; Halomonadaceae
Description: partial 16S ribosomal RNA
Rfam family: Bacterial small subunit ribosomal RNA
Source: RNAcentral
CCUACGGGAGGCAGCAGUGGGGAAUAUUGGACAAUGGGGGCAACCCUGAUCCAGCCAUGCCGCGUGUGUGAAGAAGGCCCUCGGGUUGUAAAGCACUUUCAGUGAGGAAGAACGCCUGGUGGUUAAUACCCAUCAGGAAAGACAUCACUCACAGAAGAAGCACCGGCUAACUCCGUGCCAGCAGCCGCGGUAAUACGGAGGGUGCGAGCGUUAAUCGGAAUUACUGGGCGUAAAGCGCGCGUAGGUGGCUUGAUAAGCCGGUUGUGAAAGCCCCGGGCUCAACCUGGGAACGGCAUCCGGAACUGUCAAGCUAGAGUGCAGGAGAGGAAGGUAGAAUUCCCGGUGUAGCGGUGAAAUGCGUAGAGAUCGGGAGGAAUACCAGUGGCGAAGGCGGCCUUCUGGACUGACACUGACGCUGAGGUGCGAAAGCGUGGGUAGCAAACAGGAUUAGAUACCCCGGUAGUC